GCGUUGUUAGCUCAGCCGGACAGAGCAAUUGCCUUUCUAAGCAACCGGUCACUGGUUCGAAUCCAGUACAACGCGCCA
This 78-nucleotide transfer RNA is filed under the name Escherichia coli. Its description in RNAcentral is "tRNA-OTHER". It matches the Rfam family "tRNA". Rfam says of the family: Transfer RNA (tRNA) molecules are approximately 80 nucleotides in length. Their secondary structure includes four short double-helical elements and three loops (D, anti-codon, and T loops). The record is from RNAcentral. Lineage: Bacteria; Pseudomonadati; Pseudomonadota; Gammaproteobacteria; Enterobacterales; Enterobacteriaceae.